Molecule: ribosomal RNA, 797 nt
Filed under: uncultured Pelagibacteraceae bacterium
Lineage: Bacteria; Pseudomonadati; Pseudomonadota; Alphaproteobacteria; Candidatus Pelagibacterales; Candidatus Pelagibacteraceae
Description: bacterial SSU rRNA
Rfam family: Bacterial small subunit ribosomal RNA
Source: RNAcentral
ACGCCUUAUACAUGCAAGUCGAACGAAGUAGCAAUACUUAGUGGCAGACGGGUGAGUAACAUGUAGGUAUCUUCCCUUUGGUGAGGAAUAACACGAGGAAACUUGUGCUAAUACCUCAUAAGUCUUAACGGAGAAAGCUUUAUGCGCCGAAGGAUGAGCCUGCACUUGAUUAGUUUGUUGGUGGGGUAAUGGCCUACCAAGACUUUGAUCUAUAGCUGAUCUGAGAGGAUGAUCAGCCACAUUGGGACUGAGACACGGCCCAAACUCCUACGGGAGGCAGCAGUAGGGAAUAUUGCACAAUGGAGGAAACUCUGAUGCAGCGAUGCCGCGUGAGUGAAGAAGGCCUUUGGGUUGUAAAGCUCUUUCGUCGGGGAAGAAAAUGACUGUACCCGAAUAAGAAGGUCCGGCUAACUUCGUGCCAGCAGCCGCGGUAAUACGAAGGGACCUAGCGUAGUUCGGAAUUACUGGGCUUAAAGAGUUCGUAGGUGGUUAAAAAAGUUGGUGGUGAAAUCCCAGAGCUUAACUCUGGAACUGCCAUCAAAACUUUUUAGCUAGAGUAUGAUAGAGGAAAGCAGAAUUUCUAGUGUAGAGGUGAAAUUCGUAGAUAUUAGAAAGAAUACCAAUUGCGAAGGCAGCUUUCUGGAUCAUUACUGACGCUGAGGAACGAAAGCAUGGGUAGCGAAGAGGAUUAGAUACCCUCGUAGUCCAUGCCGUAAACGAUGUGUGUUAGACGUUGGAAAUUUAUUUUCAGUGUCGCAGCGAAAGCAUUAAACACACCGCCUGGGGAGUACGACCGC